GAUGAAGAACGUAGCGAAAUGCGAUAAGUAAUGUGAAUUGCAGAAUUCAGCGAAUCAUCGAAUCUUUGAACGCACAUUGCGCCCGCCAGUAUUCUGGCGAGCAUGCCUGUUCGAGCGUCAUUUCAACCAUCAAGCCCCAGGCUUGUGUUGGAGCCCUGCGGCUGCCGCAGCCUCCCAAAACCAGUGGCGGGCUCGCUAUCACACCGAGUGCAGUAGUUUACUCUUCGCUCAGGGCGUGUGGCGGGUGCUAGCCGUGAAACCCCCAACUUCUCAAGGUUGACCUCGGAUCAGGUAGGAAUACCCGCUGAACUUAAGCAUAUCAAUAAGCGGAGGA
Molecule: unclassified non-coding RNA, 334 nt
Filed under: soil metagenome
Description: partial contains 5.8S ribosomal RNA, internal transcribed spacer 2, and large subunit ribosomal RNA
Rfam family: 5.8S ribosomal RNA (bases 1-120)
Source: RNAcentral